AGUGGCAGAGAUCUCGAACCAGCUGGCCGGUUUGACAUUACUCGGCGUACGUCAAGCGGGCCGGCUGCCGACCGGCGCAUUCCUCGCUCACGUGUUCAUCACAAUAUAAUGCUUGGAUUAAUAUCGUAUACUUUCAUCCGUAACUUUUGUAUCACUCGCCAAACUUACGAAUGACAGUGAACGCCGAACGGCGACCCAAACAACUAUUUAUAUUACGUUUUUGUUUGUUUCGCUUUAUAAAAUAGUUCGAUUUCGUUGUGUUGCUCGUGUGAAAAGUAUACGUAUUGUGUGCGUGCGAGAACUGUUUUGUGAUAUUUUUGUUCAGUUUCGUUUUGAGUUUUGGACUUGAAGUUUCAACAGUUUACGAGUAAUAACACAUCCGAGCAACUGUCAACCCCAUAGCAAUCGUACGUCGCCAGACGAGUGGCGCGAUGCGGUCGGCGGGGCCCACGUGAGGUCCCGCCUCGACAUGGGCUCUAACAUCAGCCAGCACUCCGCGAAGGGUCUCAAAGGCCGACGCGCCAGGUCCAGCGGCGAUCUUUGCAAUGGCGAUACCAAAAGCCAGACCGAAUCGUCCGUUUGUGGCUCCGUGGUCGGAGAUGUUAUGGGCUGGAACCGGUCCUUGCCAAACCAUUUAGACGGGAACCGUCAUCUGGCUGAUUACAGUCGAGUCAACAACAAUUAUGGUGAUUUUGGAACUUAUAAUCGGUGUCAUCCUAAAGGUGGCCGCGGUCUACGGUACCGAGUGAGCAAAUCUGGUAAGUCUUUUUGCUUUGUGAUUCUAACUACAGAGUGACACCACUGAAUCUGAAUUAAGUAAAACGUAGUCGAAGUCUAAUAAUCGAAAUUUUAUAAUAUUGCUGUAAGUAAUGCCGUAGAAUCGAUAGCAACGUCUACAUUUCGAGAUAUAGGCUUGAUCUAGAGACCUUGAUGUUUUGUUUCUUGAUGACCCUUACAUACGUCAUCACUGUUUUAGUUCGUUACUACUCAUAGGCAUGACCUGUCAUCAAUAUCUUUAUGGGUACGUAUCCAUGCUGACAACAUUUUAUGUUACCAUAAGUCAUAGCGUGCGGAUAUAUUGUCAUGAUUUAUGUGAAAAGGUUCCUGACAAAAACAAACUUCGUAUUGAUUUAUACACGCUUCUGUGGAAAGAUUGAAUUGAAAAGGGUUUCAACAUAAUCAUUUAUUUUGAUCUAUAUCUGAUAUAGCUUCUGUUUGGUUUAGGGUUUUGGAAUAUUAAUAGAAAUCUUUGAUGGAAUUUAAAUAGAUUUCGAUAAGAUUAUAAAAGUAAAACUCCUAGAAGUGUCUUUAAUAUCAAAACUCUGAUAUAACCUACG
This 1337-nucleotide unclassified non-coding RNA is filed under the name Manduca sexta (tobacco hornworm). RNAcentral describes it as "uncharacterized LOC119193391, transcript variant X3". Lineage: Eukaryota; Metazoa; Arthropoda; Insecta; Lepidoptera; Sphingidae. The record is from RNAcentral.